This 381-nucleotide ribosomal RNA is filed under the name uncultured Helicobacter sp. RNAcentral describes it as "bacterial SSU rRNA". It matches the Rfam family "Bacterial small subunit ribosomal RNA", at positions 65 to 479 of the family's 1533-position model. Lineage: Bacteria; Pseudomonadati; Campylobacterota; Epsilonproteobacteria; Campylobacterales; Helicobacteraceae. The record is from RNAcentral.
GAUGAAGCUUCUAGCUUGCUAGGCGGAUUAGUGGCGCACGGGUGAGUAACGCAUAGAUGACAUGCCCUUUAGUUUGGGAUAGCCACUAGAAAUGGUGAUUAAUACCAAAUACCACCCUACGGGGGAAAGAUUUAUCGCUAAAGGAUUGGUCUAUGUCCUAUCAGCUUGUUGGCGGGGUAAGAGCCCACCAAGGCAAUGACGGGUAUCCGGCCUGAGAGGGUGAACGGACACACUGGAACUGAGACACGGUCCAGACUCCUACGGGAGGCAGCAGUAGGGAAUAUUGCUCAAUGGGCGCAAGCCUGAAGCAGCAACGCCGCGUGGAGGAUGAAGGUUUUAGGAUUGUAAACUCCUUUUGUGAGAGAAGAUAAUGACGGUAUC